CCUACGGGAGGCAGCAGUGGGGGAUCUUGCACAAUGGGCGGAACCCUGAUGCAGCGACGCCGCGUGGGUGAAGAAGCGCCUCGGCGCGUAAAGCCCUGUCAGCAGGGAAGAAAAUGACGGUACCUGAAGAAGAAGCCCCGGAUAACUACGUGCCAGCAGCCGCGGUAAUACGUAGGGGGCAAGCGUUAUCCGGAUGUACUGGGUGUAAAGGGGGCGCAGACGGCGAUGCAAGCCAGGAGUGAAAGCCCGGGGCCCAACCCCGGGACUGCGCUUGGAACUGCGUGGCUGGAGGGCAGGAGGGGCAGGCGGAAUUCCUGGUGUAGCGGUGAAAUGCGUAGAGAUCAGGAGGAACACCGGUGGCGAAGGCGGCCUGCUGGACUGCAACUGACGUUGAGGCCCGAAAGCGUGGGGAGCAAACAGGAUUAGAUACCCGGGUAGUC
Molecule: ribosomal RNA, 440 nt
Filed under: uncultured bacterium
Lineage: Bacteria
Description: partial 16S ribosomal RNA
Rfam family: Bacterial small subunit ribosomal RNA
Source: RNAcentral